GAACUGUGCGAACGUUAUUCGGAAUCACUGGGCUUACAGGGUGCGUAGGCGGCUUGUUAAGUAGGGUGUGAAAGCCCCCGGCUCAACCGGGGAAUUGCGCCCUAAACUGGCGAGCUGGAGUGAGAUAGGGGUGUGUGGAACUUCUGGUGGAGCGGUGAAAUGUGUUGAUAUCGGAAGGAACGCCGGUGGCGAAAGCGACACACUGGAUCUUGUCUGACGCUGAGGCACGAAAGCCAGGGGAGCGAACGGGAUUAGAUACCCCGGUAGUCCUGGCUGUAAACGAUGAGCACUAGCUAGGAGGGGCGUAGGCCCUUCCUAACGGAGCGAAAGUGUUAAGUGCUCCGCCUGGGGAGUAUGGUCGCAAGGCUG
Molecule: ribosomal RNA, 369 nt
Filed under: uncultured bacterium
Lineage: Bacteria
Description: bacterial SSU rRNA
Rfam family: Bacterial small subunit ribosomal RNA
Source: RNAcentral